This 440-nucleotide ribosomal RNA is filed under the name uncultured bacterium. RNAcentral describes it as "partial 16S ribosomal RNA". It matches the Rfam family "Bacterial small subunit ribosomal RNA", at positions 338 to 795 of the family's 1533-position model. The record is from RNAcentral.
CCUACGGGAGGCAGCAGUGGGGAAUAUUGCACAAUGGGGGCAACCCUGAUGCAGCGACGCCGCGUGAGUGAAGAAGUAAUUCGUUAUGUAAAGCUCUAUCAGCAGGGAAGAAAAUGACGGUACCUGAGUAAGAAGCCCCGGCUAACUACGUGCCAGCAGCCGCGGGAAUACGUAGGGGGCAAGCGUUAUCCGGAUUUACUGGGUGUAAAGGGAGCGUAGACGGCAGUGCAAGCCUGGAGUGAAAGGCGGGGGCUCAACCCCCGGACUGCUUUGGAAACUGUCGGGCUGGAGUGCAGGAGAGGUAAGUGGAAUUCCUAGUGUAGCGGUGAAAUGCGUAGAUAUUAGGAGGAACACCAGUGGCGAAGGCGGCUUACUGGACUGUAACUGACGUUGAGGCUCGAAAGCGUGGGGAGCAAACAGGAUUAGAUACCCUUGUAGUC